AAUCGACGCUGGCGGCGUGCUUCAGACAUGCAAGUCGAACGCGAAGGUUUCCUUCGGGAAGCGAGUAGAGUGGCGCACGGGUGAGUAACACGUAAGUAAUCUACCUUUGGGUGGGGAAUAACUCAGGGAAACUUGAGCUAAUACCGCAUAAUGCAGCGGCUCCUUAUGGAGACAGUUGUUAAAGAAUUUAUUCGCCUAAA
RNAcentral lists this ribosomal RNA (200 nucleotides) under uncultured bacterium. RNAcentral's name for it is "partial 16S ribosomal RNA". It matches the Rfam family "Bacterial small subunit ribosomal RNA", at positions 32 to 223 of the family's 1533-position model. The record is from RNAcentral.